UUUCUCACCCCCGCGCGCCAUUCCGAAAGACACCCAACCUGAAUCGCCCGGAAAAUUUGGUUGCCAGCCCGCGAACCUAGCAAAAGGGUUUUACGGCAACGAAUAUUAUAGAGGUGGCUUCCCCCUCGGGGUUCGCCCCACCUCUCACCAUUGUUAUCUACCUUAGUGCUUGGCGGCUUGGGGUCGCCUCACGCGGACUCGGAGGGGUGACGGCCCGCAGAGCCCAAUAAAUCCGUUAUGCAGUAUAUCAGAACAAAAUUACUAUAGUAAAAACUUUCAAACAAACGGAAUCUCUGGUUCCAGCAUCGAUGAAAGAACGCAGCGAAUGCGAUAAGUAAUGUGAAUUGCAGAAUUCAGUGAAUCAUCGAAUCUUGAACGCACAUUGCGCCCCUCGGUAUUCCGGGGGGCAUGCCUGUUCGAGCGUCAUACACCCCUCAAGCGUAGCUUGGUAUUGGGUCCUCCCCCCCGGGGCGUGCCCGAAAAGCAGUGGCGGCUCGGUGUGACUUUAAGCGUAGUAAAUUUUCAUCCCGUCUUUGAAAGUUCGCCCCGUGGCUUGCCAGACAACCCCGAUUUUAUUUUCAAUGAUUGACCU
This 592-nucleotide ribosomal RNA is filed under the name Hypogymnia physodes. RNAcentral's name for it is "eukaryotic LSU rRNA". The stretch from base 272 to 426 matches the Rfam family "5.8S ribosomal RNA". The record is from RNAcentral. Lineage: Eukaryota; Fungi; Ascomycota; Lecanoromycetes; Lecanorales; Parmeliaceae.